ACAUCUUUAGCUAAAUGGUAAAGCAAUUACCUUCGAAGUAAUAGAUUAUUGGUUCAAUUCCAUUAAGAUGUU
RNAcentral lists this transfer RNA (72 nucleotides) under Coprinellus micaceus. RNAcentral's name for it is "tRNA-Ala". It matches the Rfam family "tRNA". Rfam says of the family: Transfer RNA (tRNA) molecules are approximately 80 nucleotides in length. Lineage: Eukaryota; Fungi; Basidiomycota; Agaricomycetes; Agaricales; Psathyrellaceae. The record is from RNAcentral.